CCCUUAGAUGUUCUGGGCCGCGCACGCGCUACACUGGCAGGUUCAUCGAGCUUCAUGCCCUGAUCUGAGAAGAACGGGAAAUCUUUGAACACCUGCCGUGCUUGGGAUAGAUGUUUGCAAUUAUUCAUCUUCAACGAGGAUUGCCUUGUAAGCGCACGUCAUCAGCGUGCAUUGAAUACGACCCUGUAUUCUGUACACACCGCCCGUCGCUCCUACCGAUUGAAGUUUUCGGUGAAUUUACUGGAGAUCCCUUUUGAAGGUGGUUCGCCACUGGAAGAAGUAUUCAAAAGUAAAUGAAUCGAAUGCUUUAGAGGAAGGAGAAGUCGUAACA
RNAcentral lists this ribosomal RNA (331 nucleotides) under uncultured eukaryote. RNAcentral's name for it is "partial 18S ribosomal RNA". It matches the Rfam family "Eukaryotic small subunit ribosomal RNA", at positions 1470 to 1796 of the family's 1831-position model. The record is from RNAcentral.